UGGGGAAUAUUGGACAAUGGGCGCAAGCCUGAUCCAGCCAUGCCGCGUGAGUGAUGAAGGCCCUAGGGUUGUAAAGCUCUUUCACCGGUGAAGAUAAUGACGGUAACCGGAGAAGAAGCCCCGGCUAACUUCGUGCCAGCAGCCGCGGUAAUACGAAGGGGGCUAGCGUUGUUCGGAUUUACUGGGCGUAAAGCGCACGUAGGCGGACUUUUAAGUCAGGGGUGAAAUCCCGGGGCUCAACCCCGGAACUGCCUUUGAUACUGGAAGUCUUGAGUAUGGUAGAGGUGAGUGGAAUUCCGAGUGUAGAGGUGAAAUUCGUAGAUAUUCGGAGGAUCACCAGUGGCGAAGGCGGCUCACUGGACCAUUACUGACGCUGAGGUGCGAAAGCGUGGGGAGCAAACAGG
This 404-nucleotide ribosomal RNA is filed under the name Pseudomonas sp. RNAcentral describes it as "partial 16S ribosomal RNA". It matches the Rfam family "Bacterial small subunit ribosomal RNA", at positions 355 to 776 of the family's 1533-position model. RNAcentral also lists the same sequence under 1 other name. Lineage: Bacteria; Pseudomonadati; Pseudomonadota; Gammaproteobacteria; Pseudomonadales; Pseudomonadaceae. The record is from RNAcentral.